RNAcentral lists this ribosomal RNA (567 nucleotides) under uncultured bacterium. RNAcentral describes it as "bacterial SSU rRNA". It matches the Rfam family "Bacterial small subunit ribosomal RNA", at positions 750 to 1310 of the family's 1533-position model. The record is from RNAcentral.
GGCGCGAAAGCAUGGGGAGCGAACAGGAUUAGAUACCCUGGUAGUCCAUGCCGUAAACGAUGAAUACUAGGUGUAGGGGGUAUCGACCCCCCCUGUGCCGCAGUUAACACAAUAAGUAUUCCGCCUGGGGAGUACGACCGCAAGGUUSAAACUCAAAGGAAUUGACGGGGACCCGCACAAGCGGUGGAGCAUGUGGUUUAAUUCGACGCAACGCGAASAACCUUACCAGGGCUUGGCAUCCCUUGUCCGCUAUGGAAACAUAGUCUUCAGACCUUCGGGUUUGACAAGGUGACAGGUGGUGCAUGGUUGUCGUCAGCUCGUGUCGUGAGAUGUUGGGUUAAGUCCCGCAACGAGCGCAACCCCUAUUUCCAGUUGCCAGCACAUAAUGGUGGGAACUCUGGAGGAACUGCCGGUGACAAACCGGASSAAGGUGGGGAUGACGUCAAAUCAUCAUGCCCCUUAUGUCCUGGGCUACACACGUGCUACAAUGGCUGGUACAGAGGGCUGCAAAACCGCGAGGUGGAGCSAAUCCCUAAAGCCAGUCUCAGUUCGGAUUGUAGGCUGAAA